AAUCUUACCGGGUCCGGACACACUGAGGAUUGACAGGCAAUAUAUGUGACUCUUCGGAGUUUGCAUUGUUAAAUAUGCUAGUCCUUUCAUGAUUAUGUGAUAGGUGGUGCAUGGCCGUUCUUAGUUCGUGGAGUGAUCUGUCUGCUUAAUUGCGUUUCAAAUUACUUAUAAGGUAGCAAUACGCGAUGAAGCUUUCAAUAGUCCUCACGGAUUCACUUGAGUCUCUCGCUUCGCUAUCCUUUCGAAUGCAACGAACGUGACCGCAACCUCUUGUUGCCUUCGUUUAACAUCCUGCAGCUCGCUGUGGGUACUGAGGGCUUCACUCGGUGACUUUGGGCUGAGCAAUCGGUCUCUU
Molecule: ribosomal RNA, 355 nt
Filed under: Globigerinita uvula
Lineage: Eukaryota; Foraminifera; Rotaliida; Globigerinitidae
Description: bacterial SSU rRNA
Rfam family: Eukaryotic small subunit ribosomal RNA
Source: RNAcentral